Molecule: ribosomal RNA, 253 nt
Filed under: uncultured bacterium
Lineage: Bacteria
Description: partial 16S ribosomal RNA
Rfam family: Bacterial small subunit ribosomal RNA
Source: RNAcentral
UACGAAGGGGGCUAGCGUUGCUCGGAAUUACUGGGCGUAAAGCGCACGUAGGCGGUCUUUUAAGUCGGGGGUGAAAUCCUGGAGCUCAACUCCAGAACUGCCUUCGAUACUGGAAGACUUGAGUCCGGGAGAGGUGAGUGGAACUGCGAGUGUAGAGGUGAAAUUCGUAGAUAUUCGCAAGAACACCAGUGGCGAAGGCGGCUCACUGGCCCAUUACUGACGCUGAGGCACGAAAGCGUGGGGAGCAAACAGG